Molecule: long non-coding RNA, 1110 nt
Organism: Aegilops tauschii subsp. strangulata
Lineage: Eukaryota; Viridiplantae; Streptophyta; Magnoliopsida; Poales; Poaceae
Source: RefSeq, a predicted model, not a curated record
AUAAAAUGUUCAUGUAUAUGACAAUAUAUCAUCAACUUAUAUUUAUAAAAUGGUCAUCCCAUAAUUAAUCUAUGUUCAUGCGAAAAAAGUAAAAUAAAAUUACAUGUAAAUUGUUGAUAUACUUAAGAAUAGUUUCUUAUAUACAUUUAAAAAGCAAGUCCAAUGUUAAGUGGAUGAGUCUUGGUGAAUUUUAAAUUUUGUUCUCUUAUACCAAGAGAGAAAUUAAUAAUUAUACAGAGAAGGCAUCAUAUAUAUAGGAAUUAUUGAUACUAUACCAAUUAUCAACAAUGCCUUAACUAUAAUAUUAACAUGCACCAGUUUUUUGCUACCCAUUAUAAUAGGUCAAUUCUACCCCUCGGAAACAAUAAGCGAUCAAUUCUAGAUGGGGCAUUAAAGUAACUUACACGAUAUGACAAAGCAUCAAUUUGAAAAAAAAACUUUAGAAGGAACCAUGAAUCUUUAGAAGUGAAACUAAAAUUGGACAUUCCGACAAGCCAUAACUCCAAGCAUUAAUAUUUUCUUCAACUUCACACAUCAAUGUGGAGAAGCUUUCACUAUAUAUAUAUGAACCAUUCAUGGAGCAAGCAUUUCACGGUCAUACACUCAUCAACUCCACUUACAAGAGUACCACCCAUUAAUAGCCUCUGUUCCCCGAAGAUGAUGACCAAGUACAUGAGGAACAAUGUGCAAGGACUAGUGCUACUUUCUUUUCUUCUUGUGGUUUGUUUGACUUGUCUUGGAGGCACAUAUGGCGAAAUCAUAAAUGACAAGGGGAGCAACAUGAUGACGAAAGUAAGCCAUGUAACGAGACCCCCUUGUUAUAAAGAUGGGCACCAGCUCCCAGGACGGGAAUUCUGCUGUAAAAUAGAUAAAUUGUGCUGGCCAAAUCUCGGAGAAUGCUUCAUCAACUGUCCCUGCAAGAUUAAUUGCACACCAGCAGCAGCAGCAACACAAUAGUUUCGUUAUCACCCCUAUUUUGGGUGGAUAAAUCCCAACCUUAUGGUUCUCAAAAUAAUUAUGUGCUGAUGAGAUCAUAAAUUUUGUAUGUUUUAUAAAUCAACUAUGUUAUUUUAAUAUUCAAUAAAACUAGCCAAUGGGUUGUUUGUACAA